RNAcentral lists this ribosomal RNA (492 nucleotides) under uncultured bacterium. RNAcentral describes it as "partial 16S ribosomal RNA". It matches the Rfam family "Bacterial small subunit ribosomal RNA", at positions 29 to 507 of the family's 1533-position model. The record is from RNAcentral.
AGUGAACGCUGGCGGUAGGCCUAACACAUGCAAGUCGAACGGCAGCACAGUAAGAGCUUGCUCUUACGGGUGGCGAGUGGCGGACGGGUGAGGAAUACAUCGGAAUCUACUUUUUCGUGGGGGAUAACGUAGGGAAACUUACGCUAAUACCGCAUACGACCUACGGGUGAAAGCAGGGGAUCUUCGGACCUUGCGCGAUUGAAUGAGCCGAUGUCGGAUUAGCUAGUUGGCGGGGUAAAGGCCCACCAAGGCGACGAUCCGUAGCUGGUCUGAGAGGAUGAUCAGCCACACUGGAACUGAGACACGGUCCAGACUCCUACGGGAGGCAGCAGUGGGGAAUAUUGGACAAUGGGCGCAAGCCUGAUCCAGCCAUACCGCGUGGGUGAAGAAGGCCUUCGGGUUGUAAAGCCCUUUUGUUGGGAAAGAAAAGCAGCAGGUUAAUACCCCGCUGUUCUGACGGUACCCAAAGAACAAGCACCGACUAACUUCGUG